CGUACACUCCUGCGGGAGGCAGCAGUGGGGAAUAUUGCACAAUGGGCGCAAGCCUGAUGCAGCCAUGCCGCGUGUAUGAAGAAGGCCUUCGGGUUGUAAAGUACUUUCAGCGGGGAGGAAGGCAAUACGGUUAAUAACCGUGUUGAUUGACGUUACCCGCAGAAGAAGCACCGGCUAACUCCGUGCCAGCAGCCGCGGUAAUACGGAGGGUGCAAGCGUUAAUCGGAAUUACUGGGCGUAAAGCGCACGCAGGCGGUCUGUCAAGUCGGAUGUGGAAUCCCCGGGCUCAACCUGGGAACUGCAUUCGAAACUGGCAGGCUUGAGUCUUGUAGAGGGGGGUAGAAUUCCAGGUGUAGCGGUGAAAUGCGUAGAGAUCUGGAGGAAUACCGGUGGCGAAGGCGGCCCCCUGGACAAAGACUGACGCUCAGGUGCGAAAGCGUGGGGAGCAAACAGGAUUAGAAACCCCAGUAGUCCCAUGA
RNAcentral lists this ribosomal RNA (479 nucleotides) under uncultured organism. RNAcentral's name for it is "partial 16S ribosomal RNA". It matches the Rfam family "Bacterial small subunit ribosomal RNA", at positions 330 to 800 of the family's 1533-position model. The record is from RNAcentral.